GAACGCACAUUGCGCCCGCUGGUACUCCGGCGGGCACGCCUGUCCGAGCGUCAUUUCAACCCUCAGUACCCGCCCUCACGGGCGCGGGACUGGUGUUGGGGCCCGGCCGCCAUCACCGGCGGCCGUCCCCUAAAUUCAGUGGCGGUCACGCCGCAAUCCCUUGCGUAGUAACACACCUCGCACCGGAGAGCGACACGGUCCACGCCGUGAAACCCCCAAUUUUCAAUGGUUGACCUCGGAUCAGGUGGGAAUACCCGCUGAACUUAAG
RNAcentral lists this unclassified non-coding RNA (268 nucleotides) under uncultured fungus. RNAcentral describes it as "sequence contains 5.8S rRNA gene". The stretch from base 1 to 53 matches the Rfam family "5.8S ribosomal RNA", at positions 102 to 154 of the family's 154-position model. Lineage: Eukaryota; Fungi. The record is from RNAcentral.